AUGAUCAGUGGUCAGGAGAUGAACCUGGCAGUGAGAUCAUAUUUGAUUUGGUUGAUUCAGAGGAAUCCCUCUGUACAGACUCAUCAGAGAUUCUCACACUGGAAGCUGAGGAGCCCAGUACAGACCCCCUGGAUAAUGCCCUGGAGUUCAACAGACAGCUCCAUGUCUCUCUGCAGAAAAAACAGGAGGAAAUCUCGGCCUUAAAGGAGAAGAACGCUCAGCUGAAGGAGUUAGCCAAGCAGGCCGAGCAUUACGCUAAAAUAAUGGGCGUAAGUGUUUCUUGCGUUUACUUUGACAGACAGAACGAACC
Molecule: long non-coding RNA, 310 nt
Filed under: Astyanax mexicanus (Mexican tetra)
Lineage: Eukaryota; Metazoa; Chordata; Actinopteri; Characiformes; Acestrorhamphidae
Description: lncRNA (ENSAMXG00005014161.1)
Source: RNAcentral